RNAcentral lists this transfer RNA (84 nucleotides) under Patescibacteria group bacterium. RNAcentral's name for it is "tRNA-Leu". It matches the Rfam family "tRNA". From Rfam's summary of the family: Transfer RNA (tRNA) molecules are approximately 80 nucleotides in length. Their secondary structure includes four short double-helical elements and three loops (D, anti-codon, and T loops). The record is from RNAcentral.
GCCGCCGUGGUGAAAUUGGCAGACACGACAGACUUAAGAUCUGUUGCCCGCAAGGGCGUGUCGGUUCGACUCCGACCGGCGGCA